CCUACGGGAGGCAGCAGUAGGGAAUCUUGCGCAAUGGGCGAAAGCCUGACGCAGCCAUGCCGCGUGGAUGAUGAAGGUCUUAGGAUUGUAAAAUCCUUUCAGCGGGGACGCGGUACCCGCAGAAGAAGCCCCGGCUAACUUCGUGCCAGCAGCCGCGGUAAUACGAAGGGGGCUAGCGUUGCUCGGAUUUACUGGGCGUAAAGGGCGCGUAGGCGGAUUUCUAAGUCGGGGGUGAAAGCCCAGGGCUCAACCCUGGAAUUGCCUUCGAUACUGGAAGUCUUGAGUACGGGAGAGGUGAGUGGAACUCCGAGUGUAGAGGUGAAAUUCGUAGAUAUUCGGAAGAACACCAGUGGCGAAGGCGACUCACUGGCCCGUACUGACGCUGAGGCGCGAAAGCGUGGGGAGCAAACAGGAUUAGAUACCCUUGUAGUC
RNAcentral lists this ribosomal RNA (432 nucleotides) under uncultured bacterium. Its description in RNAcentral is "partial 16S ribosomal RNA". It matches the Rfam family "Bacterial small subunit ribosomal RNA", at positions 338 to 795 of the family's 1533-position model. The record is from RNAcentral.